RNAcentral lists this ribosomal RNA (253 nucleotides) under uncultured bacterium. RNAcentral's name for it is "partial 16S ribosomal RNA". It matches the Rfam family "Bacterial small subunit ribosomal RNA", at positions 524 to 776 of the family's 1533-position model. The record is from RNAcentral.
GACGGAGGAUGCAAGCGUUAUUCGGAAUGAUUGGGCGUAAAGCGUCCGCAGGUGGCUGUUCAAGUCUGCUGUCAAAGACCGGGGCUUAACUUCGGAAAGGCAGUGGAAACUGAACAGCUAGAGUAUGGUAGGGGCAGAGGGAAUUCCUGGUGUAGCGGUGAAAUGCGUAGAGAUCAGGAAGAACAUCGGUGGCGAAGGCGCUCUGCUGGACCAUAACUGACACUCAGGGACGAAAGCGAGGGGAGCGAAUGGG